GACGAACGCUGGCGGCGUGCUUAACACAUGCAAGUCGAGCGGUAAGGCCCUUUCGGGGUACACGAGCGGCGAACGGGUGAGUAACACGUGGGUGACCUGCCCUCAGCUCUGGGAUAAGCCUGGGAAACCGGGUCUAAUACCGGAUAUGACUCCAUGACGCAUGUUGUGGGGUGGAAAGCCUUGUGCGGCUGAGGAUGGGCCCGCGGCCUAUCAGCUUGUUGGUGGGGUGAUGGCCUACCAAGGCGACGACGGGUAGCCGGCCUGAGAGGGCGACCGGCCACACUGGGACUGAGACACGGCCCAGACUCCUACGGGAGGCAGCAGUGGGGAAUCUUGCGCAAUGGGCGAAAGCCUGACGCAGCGACGCCGCGUGA
Molecule: ribosomal RNA, 374 nt
Filed under: uncultured bacterium
Lineage: Bacteria
Description: bacterial SSU rRNA
Rfam family: Bacterial small subunit ribosomal RNA
Source: RNAcentral